UGAACGAAGCCUGUGAUCUUGGAGCAAUACAAGGCGUUCGGCUCAGUAACACGCAGUCAACCUACCUUAUGGACGGGGAUAACCUCGGGAAACUGAGAAUAAUACCCGAUAGAUCAUUAUGCCUGGAACGGUUUAUGGUCAAAAUGAAUUUCGCCAUAGGAUGGGACUGCGGUCUAUCAGCUUGUUGGNGAGGUAAUGGCCCACCAAGGCGUAUAACAGAUACGGGCUCUGAGAGGAGAGGCCCCGGAGAUGGGUACUGAGACACGGACCCAGGUCCUAUGGGGCGCAGCAAGCGAAAAAAGUUUGCAAUGUGCGAAAGCGCGACAAGGUUAAUGCGGGUGUUUCCUGCUAAAGGAAUCUUUUGUCAGUCGUAAAGCCACUAACGAAUAGAAGGGGGGGCAAGGUGCUGGGUGUAAGCCGUCGGGGAUAAACUAGCGCCUCAAGGUGGGUCAUGAGGAUUAUGGGCCUAGAGCAGACGAGACCUGGGUUUGANAGNUUACGGUAAAGUCAUAAGGCUCGANAGANGGGGCCGCGGGGAAAACNGANUGCCAGGGGGAGUGGGAGAAG
RNAcentral lists this ribosomal RNA (567 nucleotides) under uncultured archaeon. RNAcentral describes it as "bacterial SSU rRNA". The stretch from base 1 to 444 matches the Rfam family "Archaeal small subunit ribosomal RNA", at positions 45 to 488 of the family's 1478-position model. The record is from RNAcentral.